CGACUAGUCGAGGAAUCGGGCGUGGAUAUAAUCGGGUAUGAAGUUGUCUACCGAAGCCGUGGGAUCAGCAAUGAUCGGUAGGGGAGCAUUCCAUUCUGCGUCGAAGGCGUGGCGUGAGCCAUUCUGGAGCGUAUGGAAAAGCAAAUGUAGGUAUAAGUAACGAUAAAGGGGGUGAGAAACCCCCUCGCCGAAAGACUAAGGUUUCCUGAUCAACGCUAAUCGGAUCAGGGUCAGUCGGAUCCUAAGGCUCAGCCGAACGGCGAGGCCGAUGGCAGAAACGGUUAAUAUUCCGUUACUACCUUUGAGGGUGACGUGGGGAAGCAGUAGUGACACUGCCGCGGGCUGACGGAAUAGCCCGUUAAAGAGUGUAGGCGUUGAUUUCCGCAGGCAAAUCCACGGAAAGAGCCGAACUUGAUAGUAUGGAGCGUCCUUCGGGACAAUCCAAUAGCGCAGGUAAACAGACUGCCGAGAAAAUCCGCUAAACAUAACUUCAGAGGUACCCGUACCGCAAACGGACACACGUAGUCGGGUUGAAUAUACUAAGGCGUGUCGACGCGGCCG
RNAcentral lists this ribosomal RNA (561 nucleotides) under uncultured Bacteroides sp. RNAcentral's name for it is "bacterial LSU rRNA". It matches the Rfam family "Bacterial large subunit ribosomal RNA", at positions 1142 to 1702 of the family's 2925-position model. Lineage: Bacteria; Pseudomonadati; Bacteroidota; Bacteroidia; Bacteroidales; Bacteroidaceae. The record is from RNAcentral.